UACGUAGGGGGCGAGCGUUGUCCGGAUUUAUUGGGCGUAAAGCGCGUGUAGGCGGCUAUGCAAGUCGGGCGUGAAAGCCCUCGGCUCAACCGAGGAAGUGCACUCGAAACUGCGUAGCUAGAGUCCCGUAGAGGAAGGUGGAAUACUUGGUGUAGAGGUGAAAUUCGUAGAUAUCAAGUGGAACACCGGUGGCGAAGGCGGCCUUCUGGACGGUGACUGACGCUGAGACGCGAAAGCGUGGGGAGCAAACAGG
This 253-nucleotide ribosomal RNA is filed under the name uncultured bacterium. RNAcentral describes it as "partial 16S ribosomal RNA". It matches the Rfam family "Bacterial small subunit ribosomal RNA", at positions 524 to 776 of the family's 1533-position model. The record is from RNAcentral.